AUUUUGGACAAUGGGCGCAAGCCUGACGACGCAACGCCGCGUGGAGGAUGAAGGUCUUCGGAUUGUAAACUCCUGUUGAUCGGGAAGAAUGGACUCCGGGUUAAUACUCCGGGGUAGUGACGGUACCGAUUGAGGAAGCCACGGCUAACUCUGUGCCAGCAGCCGCGGUAAUACGUAGGUGGCAAGCGUUGUCCGGAUUUAUUGGGUUUAAAGGGUGCGUAGGCGGUCUAUUAAGUCAGUGGUGAAAUAUGGCAGCUUAACUGUCAGGGUGCCAUUGAUACUGAUGGACUUGAGUGAAGUCGAAGUAGGCGGAAUUGACGGUGUAGCGGUGAAAUGCUUAGAUAUCGUCAAGAACACCGAUAGUGAAGACAGCUUACUAGGCUUAUACUGACGCUGAGGCACGAAAGUGUGGGGAUCAAAC
Molecule: ribosomal RNA, 421 nt
Filed under: uncultured bacterium
Lineage: Bacteria
Description: bacterial SSU rRNA
Rfam family: Bacterial small subunit ribosomal RNA
Source: RNAcentral